GACGAACGCUGGCGGCGUGCUUAACACAUGCAAGUCGAACGGAAAGGCCCUGCUUUUGUGGGGUGCUCGAGUGGCGAACGGGUGAGUAACACGUGAGUAACCUGCCCUUGACUUUGGGAUAACUUCAGGAAACUGGGGCUAAUACCGGAUAGGAGCUCCUGCUGCAUGGUGGGGGUUGGAAAGUUUCGGCGGUUGGGGAUGGACUCGCGGCUUAUCAGCUUGUUGGUGGGGUAGUGGCUUACCAAGGCUUUGACGGGUAGCCGGCCUGAGAGGGUGACCGGCCACAUUGGGACUGAGAUACGGCCCAGACUCCUACGGGGGGCAACAGGUGGGAAUAUUGCACAAUGGGCGGGAGCCUGAUGCAGCAACGCCGCGUGCGGGAUGACGGCCUUCGGGUUGUAAACCGCUUUCGCCUGUGACGAAGCGUGAGUGACGGUAAUGGGUAAAGAAGCACCGGCUAACUACGUG
Molecule: ribosomal RNA, 468 nt
Filed under: uncultured bacterium
Lineage: Bacteria
Description: partial 16S ribosomal RNA
Rfam family: Bacterial small subunit ribosomal RNA
Source: RNAcentral